CCAAAAACAUAGCUAAUAGAAACAAUUAUUAUUAGUGAUGCCUGCUCAAUGGUUGAACAAUAACAAAUAACAACGACUAAAUAGCCGCGGUAACACCUGACCGUGCAAAGGUAGCAUAAUAAACCGCCUACUAAUUAUAGGAUAGAAUGAAGGUAAAACGAAGACCCAACUGUCUCAAGACCCUAAAUUUAAAAUAGAAUGUGUGUGCAAAUCCACACUAAAACGGCAAGACGACCAGACCCUAAGAACUUUACCCAAAACUUUAACCAUUAAAAAGUUCUAAGUUUCGUUGGGGCAACGAUCUUUAAAAAAGUAACUAAGACUAAUCAAUCACACAACACAUGAACAAUAAUUCAAAACAGAUAAAACCCAUUAAUCUUAAAUUUAAUGGAAAAAAAUAAAAGUUCCUUAGGGAUAACAGCGUUAUAUCGUUCUUUAGAAAAUAUUCAAACGAUGUUUGCGACCUCGAU
This 470-nucleotide ribosomal RNA is filed under the name Regadrella pedunculata. RNAcentral's name for it is "partial 16S ribosomal RNA". It matches the Rfam family "Bacterial large subunit ribosomal RNA", at positions 1807 to 2530 of the family's 2925-position model. The record is from RNAcentral. Lineage: Eukaryota; Metazoa; Porifera; Hexactinellida; Lyssacinosida; Euplectellidae.